Non-coding RNA from Paramuricea clavata, 958 nucleotides. The record is from the annotation of a GenBank genome assembly. NCBI's taxonomy places the organism in Eukaryota, Metazoa, Cnidaria, Anthozoa, Malacalcyonacea, Plexauridae.
GAUGAAUUUCGAAAGUACAGUUUUUGCAAAGAAAAUCAUCGUAAACUUUCAUUCAAGCUAUCAAAGUCUACUGAACAGAAAAUAGAUUGAAUGUGUAAAUAUACUGAACAUUUAGACCGCCAGGAUUUAUGCCGGAUUUCAUUGUGCCCAGAACAACAAAACAAACAAUGGCCUGGGUACAAGUAUCUACAGCCUGUUCGCAGGCAAACAAGAAAGAACAGUACCUGAAAGUAGACAUUUCUGUGACCUUUGUAUGUCCAUCAACUGAAUAUCCCAUUACGGGGCCAUAUUUAUCCAUCAUAGUCUCUUUGUAUCCAUUUAGUAUAGUCACAAUUCAUCAGUAAUGAUCUGUAAAACAAGGCAAAAAAUCAAUUAAUUCAGAUAUAGAACUUGACAAAAAAUUAAACCAUUAGGUUGUAUACAGUGCCCUGAUGCAUGCUCUACUUGAGUAUUUUACUGUCCAACGCCAGACGAUUUUAUGCUUCAUAAUGAGAAUGCCCAUAUGCCUAGUUUAUACCCAUUAACUGCUAGUACUCCCCCUGCUUAAUAAAAUUGUCUGACAUUAGACAGAGUUAAAUAAUAUAAGUAGGUAAAUUAGGGUGCAAAUCAACUUAACCCAUUGCAUUGAGUCGCAUUGCACCCUGAUGCACCCUACUUUAGUAUUUUACUCUGUCUAACGCCAGACGAUUUUACUCAUCAAGGGGAGAGCGCUGGCGCUUAAUGGGUUAAUGGCUAAAUGUGCUGUCUACAUGAUCCCAGUUUGUUUGUCAGGACAGGAUGAAAGGUGGGAUGAUUUUCAUGUACUGAGAUAAGUCACUAGGCUUGAACAAAAGUUCAAGGAUGGUUAAAAGAACUCAAACUAUGUUGUCCAACAAUCUCAUGGUAAAGAUUAUUUAGUCUAUAACUAGAAGUUCUGUCGCACAAUUAUGAGUCUAUAAGUAGAAAAAUAAUGCAAACC